This 419-nucleotide ribosomal RNA is filed under the name bacterium. Its description in RNAcentral is "partial 16S ribosomal RNA". It matches the Rfam family "Bacterial small subunit ribosomal RNA", at positions 355 to 776 of the family's 1533-position model. The record is from RNAcentral.
UGGGGGAUAUUGCACAAUGGGCGAAAGCCUGAUGCAGCGACGCCGCGUGGGGGAUGAAGGCCUUCGGGUUGUAAACUUCUUUUGCUCUGAACAAGGCAUGCUAAUGGGUGUGUUGAGUGUAGGGGUUGAUUAGCGCCGGCUAACUACGUGCCAGCAGCCGCGGUAAUACGUAGGGCGCGAGCGUUGACCGGAAUUAUUGGGCGUAAAGGGCUUGUAGGUGGCUGGUUGCGUCUGUCGUGAAAGCUCAUGGCUUAACUGUGGGUUUGCGGUGGGUACGGGCUGGCUUGAGUGCAGUAGGGGAGGCUGGAAUUCCUGGUGUAGCGGUGGAAUGCGCAGAUAUCAGGAGGAAUACCGGUGGCGAAGGCGGGUCUCUGGGCUGUUACUGACACUGAGGAGCGAAAGCAUGGGGAGCGAACAGG